GAUGUUAGCGGCGGACGGGUGAGUAACACGUGGAUAACCUACCUAUAAGACUGGGAUAACUUCGGGAAACCGGAGCUAAUACCGGAUAAUAUUUUGAACCGCAUGGUUCAAAAGUGAAAGACGGUCUUGCUGUCACUUAUAGAUGGAUCCGCGCUGCAUUAGCUAGUUGGUAAGGUAACGGCUUACCAAGGCAACGAUGCAUAGCCGACCUGAGAGGGUGAUCGGCCACACUGGAACUGAGACACGGUCCAGACUCCUACGGGAGGCAGCAGUAGGGAAUCUUCCGCAAUGGGCGAAAGCCUGACGGAGCAACGCCGCGUGAGUGAUGAAGGUCUUCGGAUCGUAAAACUCUGUUAUUAGGGAAGAACAUAUGUGUAAGUAACUGUGCACAUCUUGACGGUACCUAAUCAGAAAGCCACGGCUAACUACGUGCCAGCAGCCGCGGUAAUACGUAGGUGGCAAGCGUUAUCCGGAAUUAUUGGGCGUAAAGCGCGCGUAGGCGGUUUUUUAAGUCUGAUGUGAAAGCCCACGGCUCAACCGUGGAGGGUCAUUGGAAACUGGAAAACUUGAGUGCAGAAGAGGAAAGUGGAAUUCCAUGUGUAGCGGUGAAAUGCGCAGAGAUAUGGAGGAACACCAGUGGCGAAGGCGACUUUCUGGUCUGUAACUGACGCUGAUGUGCGAAAGCGUGGGGAUCAAACAGGAUUAGAUACCCUGGUAGUCCACGCCGUAAACGAUGAGUGCUAAGUGUUAGGGGGUUUCCGCCCCUUAGUGCUGCAGCUAACGCAUUAAGCACUCCGCCUGGGGAGUACGACCGCAAGGUUGAAACUCAAAGGAAUUGACGGGGACCCGCACAAGCGGUGGAGCAUGUGGUUUAAUUCGAAGCAACGCGAAGAACCUUACCAAAUCUUGACAUCCUUUGACAACUCUAGAGAUAGAGCUUUCCCCUUCGGGGGACAAAGUGACAGGUGGUGCAUGGUUGUCGUCAGCUCGUGUCGUGAGAUGUUGGGUUAAGUCCCGCAACGAGCGCAACCCUUAAGCUUAGUUGCCAUCAUUAAGUUGGGCACUCUAAGUUGACUGCCGGUGACAAACCGGAGGAAGGUGGGGAUGACGUCAAAUCAUCAUGCCCCUUAUGAUUUGGGCUACACACGUGCUACAAUGGACA
This 1162-nucleotide ribosomal RNA is filed under the name Staphylococcus aureus. RNAcentral describes it as "bacterial SSU rRNA". It matches the Rfam family "Bacterial small subunit ribosomal RNA", at positions 88 to 1236 of the family's 1533-position model. Lineage: Bacteria; Bacillati; Bacillota; Bacilli; Caryophanales; Staphylococcaceae. The record is from RNAcentral.